GAGAGUAUAGCUCAGUGGUAGAGUGUGUGCUUAGCAUGCACAAGGUCCUGGGUUCAAUCGCCAGUACCUCCG
Camelus ferus (Wild Bactrian camel) is the source of this 72-nucleotide transfer RNA. It matches the Rfam family "tRNA". From Rfam's summary of the family: Transfer RNA (tRNA) molecules are approximately 80 nucleotides in length. Their secondary structure includes four short double-helical elements and three loops (D, anti-codon, and T loops). Lineage: Eukaryota; Metazoa; Chordata; Mammalia; Artiodactyla; Camelidae. The record is from Rfam.